GGCACGCUAGAUGCUUGAUCGUUUCCACGGCAGGCCAACGGCGGUCUCCGCUACACGACAAAGGCGUCGC
Regulatory RNA element from Pseudomonas sp. BAY1663, 70 nucleotides. It matches the Rfam family "narK RNA". NCBI's taxonomy places the organism in Bacteria, Pseudomonadati, Pseudomonadota, Gammaproteobacteria, Pseudomonadales, Pseudomonadaceae. The record is from Rfam.